Non-coding RNA from Schistosoma mansoni, 48 nucleotides. Lineage: Eukaryota; Metazoa; Platyhelminthes; Trematoda; Strigeidida; Schistosomatidae. The record is from Rfam.
CUCCAGCUGACGAGUCCAAGAUAGAACGAAACGCGCGUCAAAAUGGAU